CAAUUCUUUCCAAAAUGGUAACAGAGUCAGAGGUCACAAGUUUCCAAACAUGGACUAAUCCUAAACAUUCAAGUGUCAUCCUUUCUAUGAAACAACUUUAUAAAAAUCCAACCUGUUCUGUAAAGUCAUCUGCUUUUGUGCCCCAUUACAUUCUGGGUAUAACAUAACACUGGGUCUUGUGCGUCCCAGGAAACUUCUGACUGACCCAGGAGAAAACUUUAUCCUGUUUUCUGCACCUUCCUUGAAGAUCACUCUUAAAAAUAUGUUUUGAAAACACCCAUUUUUGCAAAUACUAUUGAGCUAUUUCGACAGCACUGUAACUUAAGUUGCUAAAGGAAGGCUCCUGUCUGUGUUGUUCACACUGAAUCCCCUGGGCCUAGAACAAUGUCUGGUAUAUAAUAAGCAUUCAGUAAGUAUUUGAAUAAUAAAUAAACGAGUGCUAUUUUAAAUUCA
This 453-nucleotide long non-coding RNA is filed under the name Sus scrofa (pig). Its description in RNAcentral is "lncRNA (ENSSSCG00030066338.1)". Lineage: Eukaryota; Metazoa; Chordata; Mammalia; Artiodactyla; Suidae. The record is from RNAcentral.